This is a non-coding RNA of Ailuropoda melanoleuca (giant panda), 137 nucleotides long. The record is from Ensembl. NCBI's taxonomy places the organism in Eukaryota, Metazoa, Chordata, Mammalia, Carnivora, Ursidae.
UGCCUCUGUAUCUGAAUUUAAAAUGAAGUGAGAUGCCCUUUCCUCCCCAGUCACAGUCUGAGGCCAAGAUCUGCCCUUGAGGAUCACUGUAAGGGCUGCCACAUGCUGGCAGGCUUGUUUUCCUGCCUCAGACACCU